This 66-nucleotide transfer RNA is filed under the name Enoplometopus occidentalis (Hawaiian reef lobster). RNAcentral's name for it is "tRNA-Phe". Lineage: Eukaryota; Metazoa; Arthropoda; Malacostraca; Decapoda; Enoplometopidae. The record is from RNAcentral.
GUUUAUAUAAUUCAAAUUAAGAAUUUUGCUUUGAAGCAGCAAGAGUGGUAGUCUUACCUGUAAACA